RNAcentral lists this ribosomal RNA (253 nucleotides) under uncultured bacterium. RNAcentral's name for it is "partial 16S ribosomal RNA". It matches the Rfam family "Bacterial small subunit ribosomal RNA", at positions 524 to 776 of the family's 1533-position model. The record is from RNAcentral.
UCCGAAGGGGGCUAGCGUUGUUCGGAAUUACUGGGCGUAAAGCGCACGUAGGCGGCUCGAUCAGUCAGGGGUGAAAUCCCAGGGCUCAACCCUGGAACUGCCUUUGAUACUGUCGAUCUGGAGUAUGGAAGAGGUGAGUGGAAUUCCGAGUGUAGAGGUGAAAUUCGUAGAUAUCGGGAGGAACACCAAUGGCGAAGGCAGCUUGCUGGGACGGUACUGACGCUGAGACGCGAAAGCGUGGGGAGCAAACAGG